RNAcentral lists this long non-coding RNA (366 nucleotides) under Chrysemys picta bellii (western painted turtle). Its description in RNAcentral is "lncRNA (ENSCPBG00000010613.1)". The record is from RNAcentral. Lineage: Eukaryota; Metazoa; Chordata; Testudines; Emydidae.
CUGGCAAGGGAGUGCAGCUAAGUCCCCUGCUAUUUCUGCAAGGGGAUGAUAUGGAAAGUUGGAUGGGGCGGGGGAAUAAGCAGUGCAUUUUUAAAACGCGCUAUUAAAACAUACCAGCAUGGAUCCCACAUAUCCACUUACAUCUCACCGUGCAAAGAGGUUUGCUGCAGCCGGAAGUUGUACCCGUCAGCACCUGCUGAGGGCUUCGUUGACCAAACUGACAGAUGGCUUUUGGAGAAUUUGGCAGUCUUGUUCUUAUUGGAUUAUGGGGCACCACUUUCAGAUAAAAACAUGGACCUGAUUGGCAUCAUCCAGUAUCCAUGGAAACCCUGGAGGGUGCAUUCCAUUUCUCCAGCAAAAAAAUGA